Molecule: ribosomal RNA, 345 nt
Filed under: Triticum aestivum (bread wheat)
Lineage: Eukaryota; Viridiplantae; Streptophyta; Magnoliopsida; Poales; Poaceae
Description: partial small subunit ribosomal RNA
Source: RNAcentral
AUGGCCACCGUUGCAGCUCCGGUCGCGACGACCGGAGCUCACCGGCGUGCUCACCGGUGUGCUCGCCGGCGCUCAUCCCCUGCUUGCGAACAAAAAAGAUCGAGCGCCCAGGGAGAUGCUCAGUGCUGCAACCUACGACGAAAAAAGGUACAACUAGCGAUAGGAAAAGCUUCAACCGGCUACGAAAAAAGCUUCAACCAGUAUACGACUGGAGCUAUGGAUGACCAAGAAAAGUUACAACCAGUGACAGAGAAAGCUUCAUCUAGCGAUGAAAAAAGUUUCAACCGUGGAAACAAAAGCCAUGGACGAAAAGUUACAACCGGUGACAAAAAAAGCUUCAUCUAG